This 723-nucleotide long non-coding RNA is filed under the name Homo sapiens (human). RNAcentral describes it as "non-protein coding lnc-UCK1-5:3". Lineage: Eukaryota; Metazoa; Chordata; Mammalia; Primates; Hominidae. The record is from RNAcentral.
AUGGAGGUAUACGGCUUCAGCGACUCCUUCAGUGGGGUGGACUCCGUGCAGGAGCUGGCCCCGCCGCCCGCCCUACCCCCCAAGCAGCGGCAGCUCAGGCCUCCUGUGCUGCUUCUUCCUUCUCCUCUGUCUCCCACUGUGUCCAGCAAACUAAAGUGGCCUUCACCCCCGAGGACGGCAGUGCCGCUCAGGGCCUCAGUGUGUCCGUCUCUAACUCCUUUCUCAGCCGGCACGGCAGCUUGCCCGUGCCCUCUAUAAGUCUGUGUUUAGGUCCUACUCCCAGGAUUUCGUGCCUCACCACCAAGCUUCCGUUCCGCCUUUCCUUCCGCCUACCUCCUCUUCCUCUCCACAUUUCCCACCUGCCCACCAGUCUCAGAGCUCUGACUUAGCCGUGCCAACCAUGGCCGGUCCACCUCCCAGCACCGUGGACGGGCCUCUCUCGGCUUCUCAGGAGAGCAGCUUUCAUGGGAAUACUGUCUGCCUUCCUUCCGAAACCUCUUUCACUGACUCAGUGAAAACGCCAGUGAGGAAGCUGGUGAGGGUGAAUAUGUCAAUCUGUAUUCCUCUGGCCAGAGCAGCGAGGAGCUGGCUCCCUCUCGAGGGAGCCACCGGCUGGGAAAGACGGACAUCCCAGAGAUCCCUCAGCGGUCAGCGGCGUCCCUGGGAAGGACAGCAGAGACGGCAGUGAGAGGCCCCAAAGUCACCAGAUGCUCUGGAGUCGGC